GGUGGAAACAUGCGAUUUAUCUCCAACGGGACCAAGUUUCGCGAGCCCAAAAUCGGAUAACUUCGGGUGAAAUCCUUCUUCCAGUAAUAUGUUGGAGGACUUGAAGUCCCUGUAAAUAACAGGAGGGUUUGCUUUAUCAUGGAGGUACUCCAAACCCUUGGCUGCACCGGCUGCUAUCUUCAUUCUCGUGUUCCAGUCCAACGGUUCCUUACCAGGUGGAAGAUCUGCAAAGAGAUUAACUAAAGAUCAGACUAUAAUCAAGUUUACCACUUCCUGCUAUUUUAAUUUCUGUAUUUAAACAGCACAAAACAAGCAAAAUACAUUGAAGGGCAUAACACCGCAAUCCUUGUGUGCAUCCAUCUGUAUUAACUUAAACCAAAACUCAUCCAACAAUACAUCACCUGUCUCAAACAGAUACAUAAAGCAUAUUGAUUCCAACCAUAAUUAGGCUUAGUUUACGUUGUAGUUGGUUGGAAAACUGUGGAAAACCAAGGUGAAAAGCCACCUUUUUUUUUACGGAAAACUCGGUUUUAGGCUGAAAAUGUUGAGCCUGUCUGGAAUAGCAAUUGUAAGUGCAAACCAGGGUUUUACAGGUCAACCACAACACAAAACUCGGCCUUAAUCAGACACGGUUUAACCGUAAGUUUAAUUUCCAUGUUAAAAAGCAAAGCAAAGGUCAUCUAAGCUCACAUUGAACACCAGGAAGUACAAUAAUGUCACUCUCUCGUAGAUAGCAAAUAUCGAUAGGCAUGGAUAUCUAGAUCAUCUAUACGUUUUAAUUAAAGCUUCUAGCAUGAAUUAUCGAACUACAAAUCAUCUGGAAAAAUCAAACACGAUAACCAUUCCAAUAACUACAUACCCUCAUCAGUGUAUAUAUAUGAUAUAUAUGUAAACCCCACAGCUAAGCAUCUACCAUAUGAGACAAACAGACAAAUAAUAUUUAAAAUCCACAAAUAUGUACCUACCAUGAAAAGUAAACAGAUUAUAAUUACCUGACAGUCUGAAAAAAUAUCAGAGGCAUAGAACUACAUACAGAAAGAAGAGGAAAUAGAACUUAAAUAACUCCCUUUUUCGGACUGUCAGUGACACGUAACGUCAAAGUGUUAUAAAAUAAGAUUUUUAAUGCUCUAAAGCUUGCAGUAGAACCAGUUUGUCUAGAGAAAAUAAAUUAAUGAAAGUAAUCAUAUUAGAGCACCAAAAUAUUACCAUGAAGAUGAUCUUCCAAGGAUCCCAAUGGCAUGAAUUCAUAUACAAGAAGCCGUUGAUCCCCAUCGGCACAAUAACCGAUCAGAUUAACGAGAUUAGGAUGAUGAAGAAGGCUUAGCAUGAGGACCUCGACAAGAAAUUCCCUGUUACCCUGGAGACCAUUUCUGUCCAACUGUUUGACCGCAACUACCUGUAAAGGCAAAAACCAUAUAUCUAAGACACUUAAUGACAUGAAGUCCUACGAGAACCUUCAAUUUGUUCAAUUUCAAAAGAAAACCUAGAGAUCAUCUUUUAAAUCUUGUAUACACAUGUAUGAUUUGGUUACAAGGGAACAAAACAAUUUUCACAGAAAAUUUGUUCUCCAAAUCACAGAGAUAUACUCAGGGGCGAAGGAAGGGGGGGAGGGGGGCAGGCAAGGGCCUUGGCCCCCCUAAAAUGGGAAAAUUAUUCUUUAGAGCCCCCCAAAAUCUAUAAAAUUAUAAGUUAAUACAUGGUACAAUUAUAGUUUGACCCCAAAAAUGAUAAAUUUUUUAUUUAGUCCUAGAAAUUAUAAAGAUAUAAGAAAAUACAAUGAUGAAAUUGCAUUUUAACUAUUUAUAAAAAUAGGUAACUUAAUCUUCCCCUCAAUAAAACUUUUGGCUUCGUCCCUAAAUAUACUUACUAACUAUAGUAUUUCACCUAUUAAGAAUUUAAUGAUAUGUUUGGUAGGAGUAUUAUUUUUUACACAUGUUUUAGUAUUUGUGUUAGCAAUAAACUAAUUCAAUUGGUAAUAUUUAACCACUCUCAUGACUUAUUUUUAGCAAAGAGAAGGAGAAGUUUUCACUUAUUUUGAAGAGGUCUUAUUUUUUACAAGUUAUUACUUAUUUUUCAAAUUUAAAUUUGUACUAACUAUUCUUUAUUUUAUGUCUAACUGUUGAAAUACAUAUGUAAUAAAUAAGCUUUUUCCUCAUGUUAUUACACUAGUAAGCAAACGAGGCAUAAGUCUAACAACAAAAACUGGUGCUGCAAGCAGCAAUUGGAUUUUUCAGACUCAUCUCGCAACUCACCUACGUGAUGAUCACACCUGUUGAGGAUUUAGACCAGAAAUCAACAUUUUAUCAGCAAGACAGACUAUAGCAGGAUGAAUGCUUCUUUAUUUGACCAAAGGAUCAACUAUACUCCGAUAUUAAUCGAUCAUCUAAAUAGAUAUCAUUAGAUCAUAUUAAAGAACUGCAUCCAAGUUCGAUUAUUUAACUUUUAAAUAGAUUUCCACUAAGAUUGAACCAGAUAUGGCCAAUACAUUCUUAAUGACGAUAUUUCCGGCUUUAUUAAUGCUUCACGUACUACAUUAAUAAAUUUUAGAAUCUUAGAUAAAAGCCUCCAACCUCUAAAUAUUAUACAACUUCCAUGUUUCCUUUUGUGGCAUAAAGACAAAUAAAACAAGGUUCGAGGCUCGAACAAAACAAGGGCCGAAGGAAUAAACAAUUACCUGACCAGUACUCUCGAGCUGCCCUUUGUAAACAUGUCCGAAUCCACCUUCACCUAAGAAAGACUCCGGCCUGAAAUUCUUCGUGGCAGCCGCAAGCUCGCGAAAACUAAAAAUAUGGGCAGCAAUUUGGACACCAGGACCAUCCCUGGGACAUGGUAGUUCCCUUUUGGACCCUCCAUUACUCCUCGAUCUAAGCCGGUCCCCUCCUGCCAAAACUCCAUUGAAAUAGACACUAAUUAAAGAUCUAAAGUACCAUUUACAUACAAAGAAACAAUCUACCAACAAAAGAUAUAUGGACUUGCUUAUCAUAUUCUAAAGAAAGCCAAUUUUAGUUUAAGAUAUUAAAUUAAUUCCAAUUUAUCAAUAUCAUCAUUAGAUCCUAAUUACAUCAAAACAAAAACAACCCAAACUUUAAAUCUCUAAAAAAAUUUUAAAAAGUCAUCAUUAUAUUCUAAAGUAAGCUAAUUUUAGUUUAAGAUAUUGAAUAAAUUCCGAUUUAUCAAUAUCAUCAUUAGAUCCUAAUUACAUUUUAAAAAAAACCACCCAAACUUUAAAUCUCUAAAAACAUCCAUGGGGUUAAAUAAAAAAAAUAACAAUGAUAAAAUUUUACAACAAAAAAAAAGCAUAUCAUCAUCUAAACAUUGAAAUAAUAAGAAAAAAAAAACAGAGAAAACCCAGAUCAGAUCAAAUGAAUAAAGUAAUUAAUUUUCUUUCUUUUUUUUAAUUAAAAGCUAACCUGAUGACAAGCUGGAAAUAUUAGAGGAAACAGUAGGUUGGGCUUGCUUUGGAUCAUUGCUUUCAUUUACAGUAUUUAACUUCUCUUCUUCCUUCGAAUCGAAACAAGGAAAACAACCCAUCCCUUAAAAGAAAAUUUCAAAACGAACCCAGAAAUCAAAUUUCCUUAAAAUUCCUAAAAAUUAUAUCAGAUUUACUGUUAACUUGGCAUACCCAAUACUUUUUUUUUUUACAAAAAUUCAAAAUAAAAAGUUACAAAAAUUUUGGGCACCCUCGAUUCUAUGCCUUUAAACGAUCAAAUCAUUGAAAAAUAAAGGAUUCAAUGAACGUAAUUAAAAAUUAUGAAAGGGUUUAAUAAAAAAUAUUUGAAAGUAAAAGAGAAAUUUUUGAAGCAAAAUAGAAGAAGAAGACGAAGAAGAAGCCGGCUUUGGGUUACUGUAUAUUAUGUAUUAAAAAAAUUUUAUAACUACCACUAAACUCUCUUCCUUUUGACCAUAUAGAGUGAAAACUUGGAUAAAAUAAAGCGUAAAUCACAGCCAUGGCGAUUCUACAAUUGGAUUUGUUCUAUUUUAGUCACUUUAAAUUUUUCCUUCAAUUUAGUCACUCUAAUUAAAAUAAGGUAAAAUGGCCUCUCCAGUCCCUAUCAAUUGCAAUUCUGAGAAAAUUAAUCCCUCUAAAAAACUUAGAACAAUUUAAUCCUUAUCAAUUUUAAAAGUGAGCAAUUAAGGACAAUUGUGAAUAAGUUUGAUUGGUAUAAUAAUAAAUUUAGCACUUGAUGUUUACAUAUUUUGUUAAUUUGGUCUUGAUUCUAAAAAAUUCAACAAAUUUAGCCUCAACGUUUACACAUUUACAAAAAGAUUGCGGGCUAAAUUUGUUAAAUCAUGACUAAAUUGAUAGAAUGUUUAAAUUAUGAUAGCUAAAUUUGUUACUAUACCAGUCAAAUUUAUGUAAAAUUGAUGAAAAUAUUAAUGUUGUGGUUAAUUGUCCUUAGUUGCUCACUUUUGAAAUUGAUAAUAAUUAAAUUACUUCGAAUUUUUUGAGAGGGACCAAUUUGCUCAAUAUCAAAAUUGAGAGAGACUAAAGAGAUUUUUUUUUUACUUUAAAAUAAUUAUGCAAAAUAGUUAAAAUUUUCGUUUUCCUUUUACGGCUUAAAAAAAAUUCUCGUUGUUUCCUUUUCACUUUUCGAUUCCCUCCUCUUUUUCCUCUUUUGAAUGGCUUGGUUGCAGAUGUGGUCUUUGAGCUCAUGGUAAGUUGCAAGAACGGCGAUAGCUUCUUAGCCAAAAUGGAAGAAAACGCCGUCCGUUGAGUCGCUUCCGAGCUUGAUGUCAUCGAAGCUCUCUCUCAUUUCUCUCGUCUAAAAAAAAUAGUGGGCUAUGUGUUAUCACCAUUUCAAACGAUACUUGCCAUUUCAAGCUAAUUUAGUUGUUUAGCAAAACCUAAAACACCAAACAUUCUCCCAGCUUCACCAUCUCAACUAAAGUAACAUUUGAUUUUUGGGUAAAUUCUUAAUAAACAUAUUAUUUAAUUAUUUUCGCCCACAUCUUAGGAAUAUCAUAAUCUCAUUGAUAAUGUCGUUAACUGAGUUAGUGUCAUAAGUUAACUCGAUAUCAAUUCAAGAAAAAUAACAAAAUUAUGAUAAACUAUUGGAGUACAUUUAAUAUUCUUAAUAUAAUAUAUUUACUCACAGUUUAAACUGGUCAUAUUGUAUAUAUCGUAUUAUUAUUAGCUUCAAAUAUUACAUUUCAUUAUUUAUUAUAUGUUAUUUAUACAUGCAUCUAUAUAUUCUAAAUACUUAGUUCCCAUGCGCAUAGCUUGUGAUAGAAUUUUUAAUAUUAUUUAUUUAUUUUAAUUAAAAUUAACAUUUUUAAUUCUUUUUAGUAUUAUAUUAUAAUCAUUUUACUGACUCGCAAUGCCUUGAAAUCGAAAUGCACAAGUUUAGUAUACAUAUAAUUAUUAUAUUUUUUUUUGUUUGUUAAUAAUAAUUUAUUUUUCUAAUAAAAAUCCUUUUAACAGCUUUAAAUUAAAUGAUUAUUAUAUUUAUGUUAUUUCAAAAGUUACCAAUUUUUUGUUAUAAUUUAUAUAAAGGAUCGAUAAAGAAAAUUGUCUAUUUGUUUUAAGUUUAUAGAAACAUAGUCAAUCAUUAUAAUUUAUAUAAAGGGACCUGAAUGGGAGUUCAAGAAUAUGUCAGCAUCUAAGUCCUUGCACUUUGUCUCCGCAUCAAGGCCGAUCGGGCCGAGCUUUUUGGAUAGAACGAGCUGAAGAGAGCUCGGAAAUGUUUGUUUUUUUUUUUUUUCAUCUGGUUCAAGUGAGAAAUCUGGAUAAACAUUGAUAGAAGAAAAUCGGGAUGUUAGCCGUUUGAACCAUCGGAACUACCUUGUGCGCUUUGUCGUCUUUUCUCUCGCCAAUUCUCCCCCCACAUCUUGGCUUCAGCUACAGCUCGUUCCCUAUCCAAAUCCCUGUUCAACAUCCUGGCUGUUUCUCUAGGGGAGUCCUCUUUCUCGGACCCUUCUAAAUCCCACUUACGGCCGGAUACUCCUCCUUCGUCGUUCUUCGAUACCCUUCCUCCUCUGUCGUCUCGGUAUCUUUUUUCAUCGGUUUCUCCAGAGCCUCUAUGGCCAUUCCCCGUUGUAUUAGGAUCGUAUGCUUGAUUUGCUAAAUACGAGAGAGCUGUGACCACAUCACCGAUAAGAGGACGUGUGGCGGCCUCCUCUUGAAUACACAUAGAUGCCACAGCUAGAGCUUGGUAGAGACCUCGCAUUGGAAACCGUCCUUGCAAUAGCGGAUCUGCCAAUUUUGACAAUUUGCGACGGUUAUUGAACAAUGGACGUGCCUGUAUAUACAAAACCACGAGAAAAAAAAGAACCUCGAUUAUUAAGUAGUCUUAGCCAAUACUACAACAUGAUAGUUAGGCAACCAAACUACAAAAACAUUUCGAAUGUGUUACCCAUGUUAUAAGAUUCUGUUCACCAUGGGGUUGAGAGCUGUCGAUAGCUUUCCUACCUGUAAUUAGCUCUAAGAAGACAACCCCGAAACUAUAAACAUCAGAUUUCACCGUCAAUUGACCAGUCAUGGCAUACUCAGGAGCACAAUAACCAUAUGUGCCCAUAACCCUGGUGGAAACAUGCGAUUUAUCUCCAACGGGACCAAGUUUCGCGAGCCCAAAAUCGGAUAACUUCGGGUGAAAUCCUUCUUCCAGUAAUAUGUUGGAGGACUUGAAGUCCCUGUAAAUAACAGGAGGGUUUGCUUUAUCAUGGAGGUACUCCAAACCCUUAGCUGCACCGGCUGCUAUCUUCAUUCUCGUGUUCCAGUCCAACGGUUCCUUACUGGGUGGA
Molecule: long non-coding RNA, 6741 nt
Filed under: Gossypium raimondii (Peruvian cotton)
Lineage: Eukaryota; Viridiplantae; Streptophyta; Magnoliopsida; Malvales; Malvaceae
Description: long non-coding RNA (GRAI_LNC000864)
Source: RNAcentral